AUUGAACGCUGGCGGCAGGCCUAACACAUGCAAGUCGAGCGGAUGAAGGGAGCUUGCUCCUGGAUUCAGCGGCGGACGGGUGAGUAAUGCCUAGGAAUCUGCCUGGUAGUGGGGGAUAACGUCCGGAAACGGGCGCUAAUACCGCAUACGUCCUGAGGGGGAAAGUGGGGGAUCUUCGGACCUCACGCUAUCAGAUGAGCCUAGGACGGAUUAGCUAGUUGGUGGGGUAAAGGCCUACCAAGGCGACGAUCCGUAACUGGUCUGAGAGGAUGAUCAGUCACACUGGAACUGAGACACGGUCCAGACUCCUACGGGAGGCAGCAGUGGGGAAUAUUGGACAAUGGGCGAAAGCCUGAUCCAGCCAUGCCGCGUGUGUGAAGAAGGUCUUCGGAUUGUAAAGCACUUUAAGUUGGGAGGAAGGGCAGUAAGUUAAUACCUUGCUGUUUUGACGUUACCAACAGAAUAAGCACCGGCUAACUUCGUG
This 484-nucleotide ribosomal RNA is filed under the name uncultured bacterium. RNAcentral's name for it is "partial 16S ribosomal RNA". It matches the Rfam family "Bacterial small subunit ribosomal RNA", at positions 30 to 507 of the family's 1533-position model. The record is from RNAcentral.